Molecule: ribosomal RNA, 2787 nt
Filed under: Staphylococcus aureus
Lineage: Bacteria; Bacillati; Bacillota; Bacilli; Caryophanales; Staphylococcaceae
Description: bacterial LSU rRNA
Rfam family: Bacterial large subunit ribosomal RNA
Source: RNAcentral
AGAUUAAGUUAUUAAGGGCGCACGGUGGAUGCCUUGGCACUAGAAGCCGAUGAAGGACGUUACUAACGACGAUAUGCUUUGGGGAGCUGUAAGUAAGCUUUGAUCCAGAGAUUUCCGAAUGGGGAAACCCAGCAUGAGUUAUGUCAUGUUAUCGAUAUGUGAAUACAUAGCAUAUCAGAAGGCACACCCGGAGAACUGAAACAUCUUAGUACCCGGAGGAAGAGAAAGAAAAUUCGAUUCCCUUAGUAGCGGCGAGCGAAACGGGAAGAGCCCAAACCAACAAGCUUGCUUGUUGGGGUUGUAGGACACUCUAUACGGAGUUACAAAGGACGACAUUAGACGAAUCAUCUGGAAAGAUGAAUCAAAGAAGGUAAUAAUCCUGUAGUCGAAAAUGUUGUCUCUCUUGAGUGGAUCCUGAGUACGACGGAGCACGUGAAAUUCCGUCGGAAUCUGGGAGGACCAUCUCCUAAGGCUAAAUACUCUCUAGUGACCGAUAGUGAACCAGUACCGUGAGGGAAAGGUGAAAAGCACCCCGGAAGGGGAGUGAAAUAGAACCUGAAACCGUGUGCUUACAAGUAGUCAGAGCCCGUUAAUGGGUGAUGGCGUGCCUUUUGUAGAAUGAACCGGCGAGUUACGAUUUGAUGCAAGGUUAAGCAGUAAAUGUGGAGCCGUAGCGAAAGCGAGUCUGAAUAGGGCGUUUAGUAUUUGGUCGUAGACCCGAAACCAGGUGAUCUACCCUUGGUCAGGUUGAAGUUCAGGUAACACUGAAUGGAGGACCGAACCGACUUACGUUGAAAAGUGAGCGGAUGAACUGAGGGUAGCGGAGAAAUUCCAAUCGAACCUGGAGAUAGCUGGUUCUCUCCGAAAUAGCUUUAGGGCUAGCCUCAAGUGAUGAUUAUUGGAGGUAGAGCACUGUUUGGACGAGGGGCCCCUCUCGGGUUACCGAAUUCAGACAAACUCCGAAUGCCAAUUAAUUUAACUUGGGAGUCAGAACAUGGGUGAUAAGGUCCGUGUUCGAAAGGGAAACAGCCCAGACCACCAGCUAAGGUCCCAAAAUAUAUGUUAAGUGGAAAAGGAUGUGGCGUUGCCCAGACAACUAGGAUGUUGGCUUAGAAGCAGCCAUCAUUUAAAGAGUGCGUAAUAGCUCACUAGUCGAGUGACACUGCGCCGAAAAUGUACCGGGGCUAAACAUAUUACCGAAGCUGUGGAUUGUCCUUUGGACAAUGGUAGGAGAGCGUUCUAAGGGCGUUGAAGCAUGAUCGUAAGGACAUGUGGAGCGCUUAGAAGUGAGAAUGCCGGUGUGAGUAGCGAAAGACGGGUGAGAAUCCCGUCCACCGAUUGACUAAGGUUUCCAGAGGAAGGCUCGUCCGCUCUGGGUUAGUCGGGUCCUAAGCUGAGGCCGACAGGCGUAGGCGAUGGAUAACAGGUUGAUAUUCCUGUACCACCUAUAAUCGUUUUAAUCGAUGGGGGGACGCAGUAGGAUAGGCGAAGCGUGCGAUUGGAUUGCACGUCUAAGCAGUAAGGCUGAGUAUUAGGCAAAUCCGGUACUCGUUAAGGCUGAGCUGUGAUGGGGAGAAGACAUUGAGUCUUCGAGUCGUUGAUUUCACACUGCCGAGAAAAGCCUCUAGAUAGAAAAUAGGUGCCCGUACCGCAAACCGACACAGGUAGUCAAGAUGAGAAUUCUAAGGUGAGCGAGCGAACUCUCGUUAAGGAACUCGGCAAAAUGACCCCGUAACUUCGGGAGAAGGGGUGCUCUUUAGGGUUAACGCCCAGAAGAGCCGCAGUGAAUAGGCCCAAGCGACUGUUUAUCAAAAACACAGGUCUCUGCUAAACCGUAAGGUGAUGUAUAGGGGCUGACGCCUGCCCGGUGCUGGAAGGUUAAGAGGAGUGGUUAGCUUCUGCGAAGCUACGAAUCGAAGCCCCAGUAAACGGCGGCCGUAACUAUAACGGUCCUAAGGUAGCGAAAUUCCUUGUCGGGUAAGUUCCGACCCGCACGAAAGGCGUAACGAUUUGGGCACUGUCUCAACGAGAGACUCGGUGAAAUCAUAGUACCUGUGAAGAUGCAGGUUACCCGCGACAGGACGGAAAGACCCCGUGGAGCUUUACUGUAGCCUGAUAUUGAAAUUCGGCACAGCUUGUACAGGAUAGGUAGGAGCCUUUGAAACGUGAGCGCUAGCUUACGUGGAGGCGCUGGUGGGAUACUACCCUAGCUGUGUUGGCUUUCUAACCCGCACCACUUAUCGUGGUGGGAGACAGUGUCAAGCGGGCAGUUUGACUGGGGCGGUCGCCUCCUAAAAGGUAACGGAGGCGCUCAAAGGUUCCCUCAGAAUGGUUGGAAAUCAUUCAUAGAGUGCAAAGGCAUAAGGGAGCUUGACUGCGAGACCUACAAGUCGAGCAGGGUCGAAAGACGGACUUAGUGAUCCGGUGGUUCCGCAUGGAAGGGCCAUCGCUCAACGGAUAAAAGCUACCCCGGGGAUAACAGGCUUAUCUCCCCCAAGAGUUCACAUCGACGGGGAGGUUUGGCACCUCGAUGUCGGCUCAUCGCAUCCUGGGGCUGUAGUCGGUCCCAAGGGUUGGGCUGUUCGCCCAUUAAAGCGGUACGCGAGCUGGGUUCAGAACGUCGUGAGACAGUUCGGUCCCUAUCCGUCGUGGGCGUAGGAAAUUUGAGAGGAGCUGUCCUUAGUACGAGAGGACCGGGAUGGACAUACCUCUGGUGUACCAGUUGUCGUGCCAACGGCAUAGCUGGGUAGCUAUGUGUGGACGGGAUAAGUGCUGAAAGCAUCUAAG